CUUUGCCCUGUUUUGGUUCUACUUACAGUUCCCAAUAGUGCUUUACUUUUCUGUGUAUCUUGUGUAUCAUCCUCGGCUUUCUGACCAUUCUCACUUCUGUAUUAUUGACCCAGCUUUUGUAUUUCGCUACUGUGAUUUCUGGUUCCCUUGACUCGACAUCUAUCCCUCGAUUAUGUGACUUCUGGCUCCCUCGACCUUGGCUUGUCCUUGAUCAUUCCUUAUCUAUCUAACGUUAAGUCCGGCCAUUCUAAGUCCCGAUAUACGUUCUUCUAUAACAUCCUGCAUGUUGGGUCUCUAAGGAAUCCUGACAUUACAACAGGGCCUUGAUGGACCCUGCAGGUGUAAGUCCUCAAAGGCUCUCUUAUGAUGAUAGGUUUGAAGAGAUGGAACAUAGAAUGGACCAAAUGGCUCUCACUUUACAAACCUUAUUGGCACGUUCAGUUGUUCAACCAGCAGAAGCCUAAAGGCCC
This is a non-coding RNA of Pelobates cultripes (western spadefoot toad), 470 nucleotides long. Lineage: Eukaryota; Metazoa; Chordata; Amphibia; Anura; Pelobatidae. The record is from the annotation of a GenBank genome assembly.